RNAcentral lists this ribosomal RNA (253 nucleotides) under uncultured bacterium. RNAcentral describes it as "partial 16S ribosomal RNA". It matches the Rfam family "Bacterial small subunit ribosomal RNA", at positions 524 to 776 of the family's 1533-position model. The record is from RNAcentral.
UACGGAGGGAGCUAGCGUUGUUCGGAUAUACUGGGCGUAAAGCGCACGUAGGCGGCGCAGCAAGUCAGGGGUGAAAUCCCGGAGCUCAACUCCGGAACUGCCUUUGAAACUGCAGUGCUAGAAUCCUGGAGAGGCGAGUGGAAUUCCGAGUGUAGAGGUGAAAUUCGUAGAUAUUCGGAAGAACACCAGUGGCGAAGGCGACUCGCUGGACAGGUAUUGACGCUGAGGUGCGGAAGCGUGGGGAGCAAACAGG